AUUGAACGCUGGCGGCAGGCCUAACACAUGCAAGUCGAACGAGCGGCGGACGGGUGAGUAAUGUCUGGGAAACUGCCUGCUAGGGGGGGAUAACUACUGGAAACGGUGGCUAAUACCGCAUACUAUCGGAUGAACCCAGAUGUGAUUAGCUAGUAGGUGGGGUAAAGGCUCACCAAGGCGACGAUCGCUAGCUGGUCUGAGAGGAUGACCAGCCAACCUGUGACUGAGCCACGGGCCAGAUGCCUACGGGAGGCAGCAGUGGGGAAUAUUGCACAAUGGGCGCAAGCCUGAUGCAGCCAGGCCGCGUGUAUGAAGAAGGCCUUAGGGUUGUAAAGUACUUUCAGCGGGGAGGCGUUACCCGCAGAAGAAGCACCGGCUAACUCCGUGCCAGCAGCCGCGGUAAUUC
RNAcentral lists this ribosomal RNA (406 nucleotides) under uncultured bacterium. Its description in RNAcentral is "partial 16S ribosomal RNA". It matches the Rfam family "Bacterial small subunit ribosomal RNA", at positions 30 to 526 of the family's 1533-position model. The record is from RNAcentral.